This is a long non-coding RNA of Zea mays, 509 nucleotides long. RefSeq lists it as uncharacterized. The transcript is spliced from 2 exons. The record is from RefSeq and is a predicted model, not a curated record. Lineage: Eukaryota; Viridiplantae; Streptophyta; Magnoliopsida; Poales; Poaceae.
AAGUACAUAUGCGUGCAUAAAUAUACUCGGCUACUACCAGUGUAUUAUAGCUGCAUUUACCUUGAUUCUACAUGCUUCAGGUAGUCUAGAAUAUCAAAUUGUUGUAUAUAUUUAACACCUUCUGUACCAUCAAAUUCAGAAAUGCACUCAAGAAAAGGCUUUUCAAAACUCUUAGAAUGUAUUCCAAGAGCAGUGCACAUAUUCAUAAGCUAAUUAUGUAAUUUCUUAUAUGUUGCUUUGAGGCAAAUUGAGCAGGGAUUUGUUUGGCUUCCAAAUGGUUUGUUGGUCCUAAAAUAGUCAGAAUCACAUGACAUCUGUGCUAUAGAUAUGGACCUUGGUGGUUUUCUCCACAUUAGGAAAGCUGGAAGAGCCUUUUGAACUCAUUUUUUUUGCUAACAGUGGUGUUAUGGUGAAACAAAGUUUUGUGUGUAUGUACCAACAGCUAAAAUGUAAACACGACAUUAUCAUACUUGAGUACAGGAAUAAUUAUCUCUUAUAUCUUAUUGCAA